Megalops atlanticus (tarpon) is the source of this 78-nucleotide non-coding RNA. Lineage: Eukaryota; Metazoa; Chordata; Actinopteri; Elopiformes; Megalopidae. The record is from the annotation of a GenBank genome assembly.
AGCAGUGUAGCAUAGUGGUAAGGAGCAUGGCUUGUAACCAACAGGUUGCUGGUUCGAUUCCUUGCUGGGUCACUGUUG